RNAcentral lists this transfer RNA (88 nucleotides) under Vermamoeba vermiformis. Its description in RNAcentral is "tRNA-Leu". It matches the Rfam family "tRNA". From Rfam's summary of the family: Transfer RNA (tRNA) molecules are approximately 80 nucleotides in length. Their secondary structure includes four short double-helical elements and three loops (D, anti-codon, and T loops). Further hydrogen bonds mediate the characteristic L-shaped molecular structure. tRNAs have two regions of fundamental functional importance: the anti-codon, which is responsible for specific mRNA codon recognition, and the 3' end, to which the tRNAs corresponding amino acid is attached (by aminoacyl-tRNA synthetases). tRNAs cope with the degeneracy of the genetic code in two manners: having more than one tRNA (with a specific anti-codon) for a particular amino acid; and 'wobble' base-pairing, i.e. permitting non-standard base-pairing at the 3rd anti-codon position. Lineage: Eukaryota; Tubulinea; Echinamoebida; Vermamoebidae. The record is from RNAcentral.
GCCCGCUUGGUGAAAUUGGUAGACACGACAGACUUAAAAUCUGUUCUUUUCAUAAAAGAGGGUGACGGUUCAAGUCCGUCAGCGGGCA